Molecule: long non-coding RNA, 5151 nt
Filed under: Sus scrofa (pig)
Lineage: Eukaryota; Metazoa; Chordata; Mammalia; Artiodactyla; Suidae
Description: lncRNA (ENSSSCG00015052444.1)
Source: RNAcentral
GUUCUGGGUGAGUGAGUGCCCUUUGUUAAAUCUAUUCCUGUUUUGAUCACGAUCUUGAGAUCUUCCAUGUUGCUUGACUCACCUCUACUCUUUAAGAUCAUUUCUUUUGUCUAUUCUGGCAGCCACUGGUAUCCACUUUUUUUUUCCUAUGUAUUUGAUUACCUUCUUUACCCUUUAUUUGUGGGAUUGUAUUUUUCUGUUUUUGAGUGUUUUAUUUCACUCUCAUCUUGUCCUGAAGCUUUAGCUGUGUUUUUUCUAUGUCAUUGGAUUUACUUCCUUCGAAGGGAUGAAUAAUACUUCGUUUUCUGUAUUGGUCAUAUUUUAUUUAUCCAUCCAACUCUAGACUAACAUUUGUGUUUCCUCCUCACCAUUGUGAAUAGUGCUGCUGUGAACAUGGAUCUUGAGAUAUAUAUUCAAGACACUGCUUUCAGUUGUUUUGGAUAUGUAUAUAAAUUUGGAUUACUUGAUCAUAUUGAUGUUCUAUAUCAAUUUCGUAAGGAUCUGAUACACUGUUUUCCAUAUUGUUUGUUCCAUUUUCUACUCAUAGCAGCAUUGCACAAAGGUGCAAUAAUUUUCAAAGGACGUAAGUUUUCAAAGGUUUCCCUUUUUUCUACAAGGAGAAAAGUUAAUCCCUGGAGAAAACAGUAGACCUGGAACUGGAAAUCGUACCAGCAGAAUACACAUAGUAAAAUUUAACAACUAACCCUUAUCAUAUUAGUUUACCCUAUGUUUAUUCUCUCACAGUUGGUAAUUUCAAGGUUCUUUUCUACUUUCACUUCUCUAUAAAUGUUUUGUUAUUUUGCUAAAAUACUGUGUAAACUCAAGUUUUAACCAAACUUUUGAGUUAUUCAUCUCUGGAGACUCCCAUGUGUCAGAAGCAUGAUAUACUGUUGAUAAACUUUUGGUUCUUUUUCUGUUAAUCUCUUUUUUGUUAUAGUGGCCCCAGCUAAGAAUUUGGAAGGGUGAAAAGAAAGUUAUUUUUUCUCCCUUACACUGGUAAAAUGAUAGCUGCAAGGAUGUCUGUCACGGGACAAUAAAGUGAAAAAUUUACCAUUCACUAUCUCCAAACUAUUUAGAGCCUUGCUCCCUUCCCAAGUGAGAAGCAAGUUCUCAAGUGCAGGCUCUCCCUCUGCCCUGUCACCCCCUGCUUUUUGCUAAGGACCUGCUAGGGAGCCAGUGCUUCUUCCAUGGCCUUCCUAGGGUUGCUAUAGGUAUUGUCCACAUCGACUACGUGGGUGGGGGAGAUAGGUUUUUCGUGCCUGACUGGUAAGUCUUAUUUGUAUUUUCCUUUGUUUUGAAAAGAAAGAACAUGCUCUUCAUGAAGGUAAGUUUUACAUAAUGGAGACAGUGUAGUAUAGAGAGGAAAAUGGAAGUUAACCACUGAUGCCACCACCCAGACAAGUGUUAAUUUGGGGCAUGCUCAAGGGUAACCUCCAUCUAAAGUUGACCCUUGGGGAGUUCCCGUCGUGGCUCAGUGGUUAACGAAUCCGAGUAGGAAUUAGGAGGUUGCGGGUUCGAUCCCUGGCCUUACCCAGUGGGUUAAGGAUCCGGCACUGCCGUGAGCCAUGUUGUAGGUUGCAGAUGCAGAUUCCGCGUUGCUGUGGCUCUGGCAUAAGCCGGCGGCUAGAGCUCCGAUUAGACCCCUAGCCUGGGAACCUCCAUAUGCCAUGGGAGCGGCCCAAGAAAUGGUAUAAGGACAAAAUAAAUAAAUAAGUAAAGUUGACCCUUGGAGUUCCCGUCAUGGCACAGCAGAAACAAAUCUGACUAGAAACCAUGAGGUUGUAGGUUCAAUCCCUGGCCUCGCUCAGUGGGUUAAGGAUCUGGUGUUGCCGUGACCUGUGGUGUAGGUCGCAGAUGCAGCUCAGAUCCCGCAUGGCUGUGGCUGUGGUGUAGGUUGCAGACGCAGCUCAGAUCUGGUGUUGCUGUGGCUCUGGCAUAGGCCGGCAGCAAUAGCUCUGAUUAGACCCCUAGCCUGGGAACCUCCACAUGCCAUGGGUGCGGCCCUAAAAAGACAGAAAAGACAAUCAAUCAAUCAAUAAAGUUGAUCCUUGAGUAACAUGGGGUAAUAAGGGUGCCAGCUCUCCCUGCAGUUGAAAAUAUUCGUAUAACUUGUUGUCAGGGUCUUUGUUUAUGAGGUUCCUCUGUAUCUAUGGUUUUGCAUCCACAGAUUCAACCAACCUUGGAUUGUGUAGACUGUGGUAUUUACUAUUAAAAAAAAAAUCAAUGUAUAAGUGGACAUGUAGUUUAAACCUAUGUUGUUCAGUUGUACUUCGUUACUAAACAACUGACUGUGAGGAUAUUUUUGUUGACUAUUUCCAUUAACAAAUAUUAUCCUUACUUAUUUUUACGGAAAAAAAAAACAACCCAUCUUCACCAAUACAGAAGACUAAGUCAUCCCUGUCCAGAUCCACUCCCCAGUGUGACCACCCUUAAAAGAAAUACUUUUGAAAUUAUCCAUGGGCUCUCCAUCAGCCCCAGGGCAACGCAACUCACCUGCUGACUGCUCCUAAUGCUUCAGAAUUUCCUGCCUCCAUUCCAUAACCCCACAGAGGACAAUGAACAGGCUGUCCAGCUUCACCCAGCCUGGGCUCAGGCUCUGACAGCCCCCUUUCUCAUCCUUCUCUGCUUUUUGGGCAGAGAGGUGGUAUGAAUCUGCAGGGCACUGUUACCAAAUCAGGUUUAUUUGCCCAAUGUGCAGCAAAUCAAAAACACUAAGACACCAAGGUUUGCAGCUGAGAAAGGGUUUAUUCACAAGGCAGCCAAGUAAGGAGACUGGAGAACAAAUUUCCAGUCUGCCUCCCUGAAGGCCAGGGGCUUGGGAUAUUUAGGGGAUAAAGAAGCAAUGUGGGGAAAGGUGAGUGGAGGUAAGAAAAAGGUUAAAUAAUCAUUCUGCACAGACACAACUGAGCUACAUGCUUCUUAAUGGGAUGCAUCUUCAGAAUAUGGUGCUGUUGGCAUGCUCUGGAGUUUCUGGCCCUCUAAUUUCAAAAGGUCAUCCAUCAGACUUGCACAGGCCAAGUUGUAUGAUUGGUGGUCUUGAUGGGUUUAAACUGCACAAGUUCCUGAAAAAUAAGCAACCAUUACUAUAGCAACCCAUAGUUAGAGGUGUUGUCUGUAGGGGGUAGUUAGUUGUUUUAUGUAUGAUACACUGUCUAAGCUACGUGAAGCUUGCAGGGUAUGCAAUUUGCAAGAACAAUUACGGUGAGCUUGAUUGGUGAAGGCAAGUUAUAUGAUAUUUAUUAAGCAAGUUAUAGUUUUAGCGAUCUGAUGACUGCCCUUGGUUUUUUUGGGAGGGCGGACAACAAGGGCCCUGGUAUACUUUGUUAUGGCUAGGCAGCUGGCCUUUUUGCAAUUCAGGGCAACAUCGGAAGUCUCACAAAAUCUAGCUGUUUUCAACUGAUGGGGAACAUUUUGGAAAGAACUGUGGUUUUUGUUUGUCUAGUUUCUGGCUGUGCUUAGGACAUGUGGAAAUUCCCAGAAGAGGGACUGAACCCACCUCACAGCAGUGACCUGAGCCACAGCAGUGACAAUGCUGGAUCCUUUAAUUGCUAUGCUGUCAGGGAACUCCUAGAUAGAAUUGUUCAUGCUCUGCCACAAGUUGCUCACCUUACUGAGUACCACAGGUGGAAUUCCCCGACAAAACCUUUACCUAUGAAUCUCAGCUGCUUCCUUCUGGAUUCCUUAUCAUUUUCCCUGUCCUUCACUUUGGGGAAUAAUGGCAGUUCCCCCCAUAAAGAGAACAAAGUCAAAGCCUUUUUUCCAUCCCUGGACAGACACAGAUUCAAAAAGUUCUCAUUGUACCAGAAAACCAAGGUCCACAGAAACUAAUGGUUUGCCAGGGUAAACUAGGAUGGCACAGGAUGGAUUCAACAUGCAUGUGGCUCUCAGGGUGCCAAUCCAUUACUCUUGUAUAGGAGGAAAAAAAAUAUUUUUUCCUACCCUUCUAAGUUCUCUACUGGGAAAAAAAACAGAUUAACAAGAGAAAAGCAUACAAAUUUAAUGUAAAUCUUUGUGACUCAGAAGCCUUCAUAAGAAAGUGAAGACCUAAAGAAAUGUUUAAACCUUGAGUGUUUUUAUACUAGGUUUGAUGAAGUGUAGAAAAUCAUAGAAGGUAUGAUAGGACAGAGUAUAAGCUAAGUGUAAUAACAUGGGGGAAAUUUAGCAAGUCCUAUUCAUUUACAUUCCUCUCUGUGUUGCUUCUAAUUCAAAGAUAAGAAUGCUUCUUUCCUCCAGGUAUAGGGAGGGCAUUGCUCACAUGAGGAUUGAACACCAGCUUCAGGGUAAGUCUGUGCAAAUGCCAUUUCUCAAAUUCCUUAAGCUUAAAAUACUCGGUGUGUUAAUAGUAGCAUGUCCUGAACCCUCAUCACUCUCCAUGCAGAUGGCCAAUAAGUACAAGAAAAGAUGCUCAACAUCAUUAGUCAUUGUGAAAUAGAAAUUAAAAACACAAGGAGAUAGCACUUCAUACAGAGUGGGUAUAAUAAUGUUAAAUGGGACAUGGAUAUUUUCAUGUGGCAUUAGGAAAUAACUGUAAGCUUUUGUUCAAUGCAGUGCUGGUAUUUUGGGGUUUUUAAAAACUUUGUUAGUGUAUCAUACUUUACAUCAUAUGGGGUAUAUAAAUUAGGGUUUAUGGGUAAGGUCAAUAUGCUAUGAAAUACUGCAGCAAAAAAAGCAAAAACAUAAUUAGAAAAAAUUUGGUUAUUUUUGAAGCUGGUUGGUGAAGGGGUUUAGAACAUGCCACCCCAAAAUAUGACACUUUUGGCAUAUGAAUUGCUUUGAGCUAGCAGCAAUUAAGACACAACAGAGGCAGGAAAAUCUCUUCCUCUUCUAAAGGAAAUUUACAUUUAUGAAGGAAAUUUUUCUUAGUAAAAUUAGAGCCACAUUCCCAGACACAUUUGUGAAAAUUGCAUUCCUAUAUAAGUAAUUAAAAAAUUUUUUCCCUUCCUUUAAUCUCUCAUAUUUUGUUAGGCCAACUAUAGAACUUAACUAGAAGGAAGUUUUUUUCUUUCUCUGUUAUUAGGCAAAUGAAAUAUUCCAUCAUAUUUGCUUAAAAUUAUACAUGAUAAAUACAUAAAAAUAAUGAGGAGUUCCCAGGUAGUACAGUGGGUUAAGGAUCUGGUGUUGUCCCUGCUGUGGCUUGGGUUUCAACUCUGG